CCUACGGGUGGCUGCAGUGGGGAAUAUUGGACAAUGGGGGCAACCCUGAUCCAGCCAUGCCGCGUGUGUGAAGAAGGCCCUCGGGUUGUAAAGCACUUUCAGUGAGGAAGAACGCCUGGUGGUUAAUACCCAUCAGGAAAGACAUCACUCACAGAAGAAGCACCGGCUAACUCCGUGCCAGCAGCCGCGGUAAUACGGAGGGUGCGACCGUUAAUCGGAAUUACUGGGCGUAAAGCGCGCGUAGGUGGCUUGAUAAGCCGGUUGUGAAAGCCCCGGGCUCAACCUGGGAACGGCAUCCGGAACUGUCAAGCUAGAGUGCAGGAGAGGAAGGUAGAAUUCCCGGUGUAGCGGUGAAAUGCGUAGAGAUCGGGAGGAAUACCAGUGGCGAAGGCGGCCUUCUGGACUGACACUGACACUGAGGUGCGAAAGCGUGGGUAGCAAACAGGAUUAGAUACCCUGGUAGUC
This 465-nucleotide ribosomal RNA is filed under the name Vreelandella stevensii. RNAcentral's name for it is "partial 16S ribosomal RNA". It matches the Rfam family "Bacterial small subunit ribosomal RNA", at positions 338 to 795 of the family's 1533-position model. Lineage: Bacteria; Pseudomonadati; Pseudomonadota; Gammaproteobacteria; Oceanospirillales; Halomonadaceae. The record is from RNAcentral.